CUUGCUACUUUGCUGACGAGCGGCGGACGGGUGAGUAAUGCCUAGGGAACUGCCCAGUCGAGGGGGAUAACAGUUGGAAACGACUGCUAAUACCGCAUACGCCCUACGGGGGAAAAGAGGGGAUCUUCGGACCUUCUGCGAUUGGAUGUACCUAGGUGGGAUUAGCUAGUAGGUGAGGUAAUGGCUCACCUAGGCGACGAUCCCUAGCUGUUCUGAGAGGAUGAUCAGCCACACUGGGACUGAGACACGGCCCAGACUCCUACGGGAGGCAGCAGUGGGGAAUAUUGCACAAUGGGCGCAAGCCUGAUGCAGCCAUGCCGCGUGUGUGAAGAAGGCCUUCGGGUUGUAAAGCACUUUCAGCGAGGAGGAAAGGUUAACGGUUAAUACCCGUUAGCUGUGACGUUACUCGCAGAAGAAGCACCGGCUAACUUCGUGCCAGCAGCCGCGGUAAUACGAGGGGUGCAAGCGUUA
Molecule: ribosomal RNA, 471 nt
Filed under: bacterium KS215
Lineage: Bacteria
Description: bacterial SSU rRNA
Rfam family: Bacterial small subunit ribosomal RNA
Source: RNAcentral